Molecule: long non-coding RNA, 1685 nt
Organism: Neopelma chrysocephalum (saffron-crested tyrant-manakin)
Lineage: Eukaryota; Metazoa; Chordata; Aves; Passeriformes; Pipridae
Exons: 4
Source: RefSeq, a predicted model, not a curated record
CUCUAAAUUACCAUAGUUGACCUUUUGCAUUUUUUUUCCUGAAUAAUUUCUUAUUGGGAAAAGUAUGAAAGUGCCAUGAGUUCACUUCACCUGAAGUGCAGGUGAGCUAGACAACCAUAAAUGCUAAAGAUGCGGUUUGGGAAUGGAGAAGGAUUUUCAGUAAGCUUGGAUGUCCCACUCCCAGUUGAAGUAAAGAAACAUUUUGAAAAUACAAAUUGUCAUCAAUACACUUGAGAACAAGGCAAACAACAGUGUUGUCUAAGCCAAGCUAUCUUUCUCCUGCACCAAGAGGCCAUAAGUGAUAGCACGUGAAAGAGAGAGAAAUGACCAAACUGUCUGAAGUGUUAAAAGAGAGCACUUUGAUGGGCUGUCCAUACUGAACAGCUGUGUCUAUGUACCUAGUUAGCCCUCUGGUGUUGCUGAAGAGCAAAUAACCAUAAAACAAUGUUUAAAAAUACAGUUAUCUUAUGGUAUGCUGGAUGAUAUCAGGUAAUAUAUUUAUCUUUUUUGCUCCUUCCAGAGACUUCUAUCUGCAAUUUAUCACAUAGGCUAUGUCACUUUUUCUAGUUGUGGUCAGUACCACAGGAACGUUUUUAUUUUGAGCAAUGACUUUUUUCUUUUUAAUCAUGAAAAUGAAGGUCUUUCAUUUUGUACUGUUAUAUUGUAUCCGAAGUAGAUUUGUCCUUCUAUUUUGUGACAAACCCUGGUUCCAAUGUUGAAUGCAACAAGUCAAGCCAUGCACUGGGCAUUGCAAGUAGUGGAAGUAAAAGUCAUAGCAUCAUUUAGGUUGAAAAAGACCACUAAGAUUGAGUCUAGCCAUUAACCCAGCACUGCCAAGUCCACAACUAAACCACAUCCCUAACCACUCUUUGCCCUUUCUGUUCUGUGAGUGGGUUGUGCAAUAAUUAGUGGUGCACAAACUCAACGCGGAUGCUCUGUGAGCAGGUCAGGUUGGGGAGCAGCCUGUCCGCUGUGUGGACUCCCAAGCCUCUCUGGCUAGCAAGAUAUUUCUUUCCCUGAUUGCUGUGGAUGCUGACUGUACUAUAUUUAAGAUGAAAUAGCUGGGAUUGUGCCUUGCUCCAGGAGGAAGACGCCUGCUACUUCCUUUCUAUGCGGUACUCGCAAACCCUGGGGCAGGGAGGCUGCACAACCGGGGCCACACGGCGGCCUGAGGGUCCAUCCCCCCGGCAGCUCUCUCCUCACCCCGGCGCCAGAAACCCGCACUGGAGCCCCGCAGCCGCCUGCUUGCAGGCUCUGGGGAGGCUGGGGUUGAUUUACUCCCCUCGAUUUCGGAAUUCCCACGUCGACCUGGACGCGCUUGUGUCGCUGCAAGGCGCUCGGAGCCGGGAGCCGCUCCCGUACCGGCUGUCGCCAGCAAGGGGAGCUCCGCAUUUGUGUAGGAUCCAAGAGACAGGCCAGGGCCAGUAAUGCCACGGCCAGGAGAGGGAGAAUGCUGUAAAAUGACAUUAAAUCGAUGUGAGGCUUAAUCCCACUGUGGGCUGGAGAAGGAAGGGGAAAAACCAGACAAGCGCCGUGGGCUCCAGGGUGAUAUUUGGGGCACUCCUGAACUCUGCAAAUCAUAUAAUAGAAUUAUUGAAUUAUAGAAUGAUUUGGGUUGGAAGGUACUUUUAAAGUUAGUCAUCUAGUUCCAGCCUUCCUGACAUAGGAAGGGACACCUCCCACUA